AGUGAACGCUGGCGGUAGGCCUAAUACAUGCAAGUCGAACGGCAGCACAGUAAGAUCUUGCUCUUACGGGUGGCGAGUGGCGGACGGGUGAGGAAUACAUCGCAAUCUACUUUUUCGGGGGGGAUAACGUAGGGAAGCUUACGCUAAUACCGCAUACGACCUACGGGUGAAUGCAGGGGAUCUUCGGACCUUGCGCGAUUGUAUGAGCCGAUGUCGGAUUAGCUAGUUGGCGGGGUAAAGGCCCACCAAGGCGACGAUCCGUAGCUGGCCUGAGAGGAUGAUCAGCCACACUGGAACUGAGACACGGUCCAGACUCCUACGGGAGGCAGCAGUGGGGAAUAUUCGACAAUGGGCGCAAGCCUGAUCGAGCAAUACCGCGUGAGUGAAGAAGGCCUUCGGGUUGUAAAGCCCUUUUAUUGGGAAAGAAAAGCAGCAGGAUUAUACACCGCUGUUCUGACGGUACCCAAAGAAUAAGCACCGGCUAACUUCGUG
Molecule: ribosomal RNA, 492 nt
Filed under: uncultured bacterium
Lineage: Bacteria
Description: partial 16S ribosomal RNA
Rfam family: Bacterial small subunit ribosomal RNA
Source: RNAcentral